This 253-nucleotide ribosomal RNA is filed under the name uncultured bacterium. Its description in RNAcentral is "partial 16S ribosomal RNA". It matches the Rfam family "Bacterial small subunit ribosomal RNA", at positions 524 to 776 of the family's 1533-position model. The record is from RNAcentral.
UACAGAGGGUGCGAGCGUUAAUCAGAAUUACUGGGCGUAAAGCGCGCGUAGGCGGCUAGAUAAGUCGGAUGUGAAAGCCCCGGGCUCAACCUGGGAACUGCAUUCGAUACUGUUUGGCUAGAGUAUGAGAGAGGGAGGUAGAAUUCCACGUGUAGCGGUGAAAUGCGUAGAUAUGUGGAGGAAUACCGGUGGCGAAGGCGGCCUCCUGGCUUAAUACUGACGCUGAGGUGCGGAAGCGUGGGGAGCAAACAGG